Kogia breviceps (pygmy sperm whale) is the source of this 3770-nucleotide non-coding RNA. NCBI's taxonomy places the organism in Eukaryota, Metazoa, Chordata, Mammalia, Artiodactyla, Physeteridae. The record is from RefSeq and is a predicted model, not a curated record.
UAUUGAUUUUUGGGGUGACAGUAAACUAUAACAAGUAAGCGAAUACAAAAAUACCAACCUGUGAAUAACGAAGGUCACCUGUAUUCCCGUGGACAAAACAAAUUUCGUUUAAGCAUAUUUACUAAAUCAAAGCGUCUGGUAGCGCUGGAGACUACAAGUUCCAGCAUGCACCGCUUCAGUACGGAGCCCGUAUUCCGCCAACCGCCACAGUAGCGUCAAGCCCGAGGCUUUGGCCCGGAAGUGUCGCAUUUGGAUCACGUAGCACUCUUAGCGCCUGUGCACACGCUGCGGGGGCCGCCCCAGCUACCGCCGCCCCUGCAGUAGCUCUAUCUAUGGUUUCUCCCUAGAGCUUUGCCGUUGUGGGGUAGCUGCUGCGGCUGUGUUCGUCCCGCGCGGUAGCGACAUGGAGGAAUUCGAUUCCGAAGACUUCUCCACCUCGGAGGAGGACGAAGACUACGUGCCAUCCGGUGGAGAGUAUAGUGAAGAUGAUGUAAAUGAAUUAGUGAAGGAAGAUGAAGUGGAUGGUGAAGAGCAGACCCAGAAAACCAAAGAGAGAAAAAGAAAGGCUCAGAGCAUUCCGGCCAGGAAGAGAAAACAAGGUGGCCUCUCAUUAGAAGAAGAGGACGAGGAGGAUGCCAACGAGGAAUCUGGAGGAAGUAGUAGUGAGGAGGAAGACGCAGCUGCAGAGCCAGAAAAAGGCAUUGAGUCAGAGAAUGCAAGGAAAAAGAAGGAAGAUGAACUAUGGGCCAGCUUCCUCAAUGACGUAGGACCAAAAUCAAAAGGGCCUCCGCGUACACAAGUUAAAAGAGGAGAGGAGGCUGAAGAGACAAGUUCAAGUAAAUUGUUGGUCAAAGCAGAAGAGCUAGAGAAACCUAAAGAAACAGAAAAAGUUAAAAUCACCAAGGUGUUUGAUUUUGCUGGUGAAGAAGUCAGGGUGACUAAGGAAGUGGAUGCUACAUCUAAAGAAGCCAAAUCCUUCUUCAAGCAAAAUGAGAAAGAAAAACCCCAGGCUAAUGUCCCUUCAGCUCUGCCGUCACUUCCUGCCGGGUCAGGCUAUGGACCUUCCCAGUUUCUAGAGAUCAUCCACAUUCCUUGGCUCAUGACCCCCUACUGUUUUCGAAGCCAGCAGCAAUUGGUUGAUUCCCUCUCAAACUGUGAAUGUCUACUCCUUCCUUCAUCACAUCUCUAACCCAACUGAGAAAGGGUCUCCACUUUUAAGGACUCCUUUGAUUAGAUUGGACCCAGAUUGAUAAUCGAGGAUAAUCUCCCCUGUCUCAAGGUCCAAUACCCUUAAUCACAUGUGCAAAGUCCUUUUUGCAUGUAAGAGAAGAGGCCAUGUGAAGACACAGCAAGAAGGUACCUGUUUGCCAGCCAGGAAGAGAGGUCUUACCUUGAUCUUGGAUUUGCAGCCUCCAGAACUAAUCAUAAUACCAUGUCACACCUGAAAAAAGCUGUGCCACCAGGGAAGUCCCACGCUCAGUAAAGUUUUAAUGAAAGAUAUCUUAGCCUGUGUACCCCAGAUUACAGUUUAUGACAAGGAUGUUGAGCAUUCUGCAGGCUCUUAUCCAGUGGUGCCGAGGCCAGCCUAAGACAAAUUCCAAGCUCCUGACAGCCAUUCAAGGAGGGGUCUGCCAUCUGUUGCAAUGAACAGAUGCUUUUCCUGUGCCGGCUCUGAAGUACUUACGUCUCCUGUAGAAGAAAACCCAGUGAAGGAUGGACAGCAGCUAUGAGAUUAGCCAACAUAGAGAAUUGUUAUUUUAGUAGAUAUCAUUAUUGGAAUCUAUUUAUAAUAUACCAAGUUGAUACGUUUUCCCAAUAUUCAUACGUUCUUUUAACAAAUGUUUAUUGAGUGCCUAACAAGUGCCAGGCACUGUGCCGGGUGUUUGAGUUAUAUAGGUGAUCAAAACAGACGUUGGCUCAAGCCUUUGUGGAGUUUCCAUUCCAGCAGGAAGAUAGACAUUAAACGUAAUAAAUAAAUUAUGUGGUGUGUUAGAAAAUGCUGAGUGUUAUGAAGAAAAGAAAAUCCGAGGAGGGUUGGGAAAUCAGGACUGUAGGGUGAGAGUUAAAUUUAGAGUAUUGAAUAGGAUGGUAAGCGUUAAGUGUCAAUGAGAAGUUGGAGAUUUGAGCACAGACUUGAGGGAGGUAAGGAAGUUAACAAGAUGUUGUGUGGGAAGAGAGUAUUUCAGGUGGAAGGAAUGGCUUGAGGCAAGGCCUACAAAGGUGGGUGCAUGCCUGAAGCAGAAUGAGUCGGGGGGUUAGUUAUGAGGGGAGAUCUGAGAGGUGAGUACCUGGCAGGUACUGUUGCCCUCUACUAAGGUGUGGAAAGCUGCUGCAGGCGAGGUCUACUGGACAUCCCAGUGGAGAUGCCCACUGGGCAGUUGAGUGAAAUUCUGGAGUUAGGGAGAGAGGUCUGGGCUGAAAAUAAGACAUUUGGAGGUCAGAGGCAAAUAAAUGGUAUUUAAGCUUUGGGACUGGGUGAAAUCACUCAGGAAGUGAGUGUACAUGGAGAAAAGUAGUCCAGGGAUCGAGUGCCGGAAGACUCCCAGAUACCCUCAAAGAAACCAGCAUUAACAAUCAGACAAGUCCAAAUAGUGGGCCAUUCUGUAGGCAAAGGGAGUGUUCUAGACAAGGGAGAUCAACUUUUCUUGGUUUGAAACUGCUCAAAAUUGAAAGUUUGUGGGUGGAAAAUGUCAAAAUUUUAAAUAUACUUUGCUGCCAGAGGUGAAUUAGCCUCAGGAAAAAUAGAACAAGCAACUCCUAAAGUCUCAGAUCAGUCAUUUUUCUCUAGCAGCAGCAAGAUUUUAAUUUCUUUCUGUAUUCUAGAGAAGCAUCUUUUCAAGGACAUGAGAGGGUAAGAGUAGGAACAACAGGAAGUAUUGAUUUUCUGCUGUGUGCCAGGUAUUUUGCUGUUCAGUGCUUUCACAUACGUUGAGCAUGUUAUUAUCUCUUUCUGGACUUCAUAUCCCACAUUGUCCCUUUGGCAAAUUCUUUCUCUUCCUUCACGUUUCAGACACCUCCCCCUCCCUUUCUACAGCCUUCCGCAAUUCACACUCUUAGGCUCCUACUGCACUUGCUGUGUAGCGGUUUUCUCAUAAUCUAAUUCUUGUUUGCAUAUCUGUCUCAAGAUAGUGAAUUAAAUGAGGAUAAGAAAUUUGUGUUUCUAUUCUAUCUUCAAUGGCCAGCAGAGUCUGGCACACUGAAGGCACUCAAUAAGUAAAAGCUGAGUUGAAUAUCUCAUUUAAUCAUCAUACUUCAAGGUAGUUAUUAUUAUCCUCAUUUUAUUAAUUGGUUACUUGAGGCUCAGAUAAAUUUACUCACCCAGGGUUUUAAACGAAAAAAGCCUUAAGUGGCAGGGGCAGGUUUCUGCACUGAAUGCUAAGCCACUAUGUCUCACUGCUUGAAAAACACAGCUCCAAAGUAGUACUGUUGAUAUGCGGGACUUGGCUAUAUAAGCAGUGCUCAGAUAUUCCAGUAUUCCUCUCUGAAGUCUAGAUUUCUGAUUUUCCUCACCCUUAUGAAACUUACAUAUGACUAUUAACAUAGGGGACAAGUUGAAAGUUUAAAUGUAUUUCUCAUAGGAAGCUACAACAGAUACCAACUAUAUAAUCUUAAACUUAAGAUUUAAAAAUAUUAGCUGUCUGGGACUUCCCUGGCAGUCCAGUGCUUAAGACACUGUGCUUCCACUGCAGGGGUCACAAGUUCGAUCCCUGGUCUGGGAACUAAGAUCAUGCAUGCCACGUGGAGUUGCAAAAAAAAUAAUUUUAAAUAAU